This 253-nucleotide ribosomal RNA is filed under the name uncultured bacterium. Its description in RNAcentral is "partial 16S ribosomal RNA". It matches the Rfam family "Bacterial small subunit ribosomal RNA", at positions 524 to 776 of the family's 1533-position model. The record is from RNAcentral.
UACGUAGGGGGCAAGCGUUAUCCGGAUUUACUGGGUGUAAAGGGAGCGUAGACGGCAUUGCAAGUCCGGAGUGAAAGCCCACGGCCCAACCGUGGGACUGCUCUGGAGACUGUAGAGCUGGAGUGCGGGAGGGGCAGGCGGAAUUCCUAGUGUAGCGGUGAAAUGCGUAGAUAUUAGGAGGAACACCGGCGGCGAAGGCGGCCUGCUGGACCGUAACUGACGUUGAGGCUCGAAAGCGUGGGGAGCAAACAGG